UUCUUUCUUUCCUUCCUUCCUUCCUUCCUUCCUUCCUUCCUUCCUUCCUUCCUUCCUUCCUUCCUUCCUUCCUUCUCUUCAUUAUGACUUAUUUUAUAGCUGGAAGUUUGUGCCCUUUCACCCCGCAAGUGCAUAAUUUUUUAAAGAAAAACGAUAUGAUGGCCUAAUAUAAACAAGUUAAAUAGAGUAAAAUCCUAAGUGUCUUUUAUCCUUUCUGUGUCCAGUCAGAAAACAAACCACUCUAAGUAUUUCAAAAGAAGCAAGUUAAUCUAGGGAACUGGUUAUAAAGGUUUGGGCAGGGCUGGAUGAGCAUAUGGGGGAAGGUAGGGUUAUCCAGGAUUAGUAACUACAGGAACUCACUACCCCCUGGAGCUGGAGAAGCAAAGGGGAAAAUGAUGUCCCCCAGAGCCUCCGCAUACAAGGCCACGGUGUCUGCCCCCCUGCACACCACACCGGGCACACCACACGACCCAAAAGACAGGGGGAAAAGGGGUCUUCCUGAUCUCUUCCAUUCCCCAGUGCCUCCCAUUGGCAGACCCUCAGAGAAGCCAGAUGGGAAGGAAUCUGGAAGCUGUAACUUGGAGGUUUCUGGCCCUAGAGGUGGAGAGCAGGGCUCACAAGGGAUGUACAGAGCCAACAGAUAAUAGUUUCAAUUUGCAAAUUUUUAGGCACAACUACAUUUGAAGAUAUAAUGAAGAUGCCAGAUGCUUGAAUCUGCAUUUAAAUAAGUUAGGAUUUAAUGGAAGUAAAACAAAGUUCCACGGAAUGUUACAGACACUUUCUGUAUCUGACUUUCGGAAAGAAAAGGUGGAAGAGUGGAUUCCCAUAUAUGUAUAAUCACUAUGAAUGCAGUGACUACAGCAGAGAUCCAAGUGGCUGUAGUGGUGACUCAAAGGUUAUGGGCGGCUUUGCCAUUCCCGGUGAGAUUUCGAAACAGUUGAGUUGACAAUUUAUAGUAAAAAGUGUAAACAAACCAGAGCUCAUUAGUUGCAUUGUUACAAAAUUCAGUGUAUACUUAAAUCAUGCCAAAAAGCCUCGUGUUUAUAUGUCAAGUGGAGUUAGGUCUGGAGCUGAAAUCAUUAGGAAUAGGUUUUUUCCCCACCUUCAUGAAUAUCCAUCAGGACAUUCAAAAUUUGAGCAGGACUAAGGAUUAUAGAACAUCCAGUUUCCUGGUCUCUUCCCUUCUAAGUGCCCUUUGCAUAUCCACCCCCUAUCCCCCCCCCCACCUUCACCCCCGUUGUUGUAACAACUAAAAACGCCUCCACAGAUUUUUGGUCCUCUCUUGAGCAGCAGUACAGCUGUUAAGAGCACAGAUGUAGUUGUGCAGUCUUGAUACAGAAGUAUUAUGAGAUAUCAAAUAGAAAUUAGGUUAUAGAAUGUUGCCUUUCAUUAUUUUAGGAAGUAUUUGUCCAUGCAUAUGAGAAAAGGCUUGGUAUUUAUAAGCCGAAAUGUUAACAGUGGUUAUUCCUUUUGUUGGAAUUUGAGGAAUAGUUUUUUUGGUUUUUUCUGUUUUUAAAUUUUUUUUCGACUUGAGAAAUUUUAGAACGCAUUCAAGGGGGUGGGGGGAGAAAAAGGUUAGGUCAGGCAGGCGUAUCAGUGAGGAUCCUUCUGGGCUCAUAGGAACAGUCAGACCCUAAAUCUGUCCAUGGGGACUGACCCAAGUACCUGAUACGAGCACUUGCUCAGACAAACUUUGGUUCUACCAGAAAUGCCACCUCCUUCCUGCACACAAACCACUCUUUGCUGCUCACUGUUCCUUCGGGAUGGUGAACAGAGCAUGUCCUUCCUGAUGUGGGUCCAAAUGGGGUCAUACUAGUUUUUUGGCUUCAUAGCACAGCAGUUUCUUUAAGAAUAGGAGCCCGCUGAACUCACCCUCAUGCCCGCCCCGUCAAUCUCAGGUAUGAAUCGCCAAACUGGGAGACUGAGUCCCAAGCUUGGACAACAUUUUCCAUCCUCGGGCCAAAAUGGGGGGCAUCAGCAAGAUGUAGCACGUUCAGUGGGUUGCGUGCUGGAAGCUUGUGGCGGGCCUGAUACUGUGGGCCCUACCAAGAAGACCGAAGAAGGAUGAUAGGAUAGGGGCGCCCAUGUGUUGGCAGGUCCCAGCAUUUUCCAACUGACUUCUCAUUGGGAUUUAACCCAACACACUGUCUCCAGUCCAAGCUGCCAGCCUCCAAAACCUCUGUCCUGCACAGGACCUUGUGCGGGGAUCUCCAGGCAGGGCGUGGGCGUGCCCGACACUCACACAUCUCCCAGACCUGAACGCCUGGGCCGAGACAAGGGAUAGUUUCCAGAUGUGGGCUUCACAUCUGGGCCAGCCAUCAGAAGGCUGCUUAUUUGAACAAAGACUGGAAGUACUCAAAGAGCCCCGAGGUCCAGAGAAGGCUGCCAAGAGCUGGCGAGCAGAUGAGUGGAGAACAGACCUCAAUUUAUGGUUCCAGGAGAGGAAGAAAGCCGUGCUUUGUGGUCCCGCACGGAUACGUGUGAAGCAAGGCAUCCUGCUCCUUCAGGAUGGGCAGUGGCUCUGUUCGUAGGAUUAAAAUCAGGGGCUUCGAUUCUAGGAUGAGCAGAAUUCUGAACUGAGGGUGCACUCCCAUUUCCAGCGUGGCACCUCGACCUUCCCCCCCUUUCCACACCGCCUCAUAACUGGCGUUCUGUGGAAAUACUGUGGAAAUAGAAAAUCUUACAAUUUUAUGGCUUGGUGUGGGCCCUUUCAACCCAUCAUCCCCACCGGACACACACUUCCUUUUUGAAAAUUUGUUCUAAAUGUUUAUUUUUGAGAGCGCGAGCGAGCGACAGAGAGCGAGUGGGGGAGGGGCAGAGAGAGAGAGGGAGACACAGAAUUUGAAGCAGGCCCCGGGCUCUGAGCGGUCAGCACAGAGUCUGACACGGGGUUCGAACUCACAAGCUGUGAGAUCACGACCUGAGCUAAAAGCCGGGUACUUAACUGACUGAGUCACCCAGGCGCCCCAUUUCCUUUUAUAGGUAACCCUGUGACUUGGGCACAUUCCCCACUUGACUGGAGGAGCUGAGAAGAAUAGGUCCGUUACCAGUCCUCUUUGGAGGGCGUCAGCGAGAUCGGCACACCUUGGAGCAGAUUCUUACGUUCCUACAAAGUGCAGAAGUGUACUCCUUGGGCUGAGUCCUGUUGGGCUGAAUUGUCUGCCCCCUCCCCCUGCCCCCGUACCUGCGUUGAAGUCCUAACCCCUCGGUACCUCGGAAUGUGACCGUAUAUGGAGAUAGGGGCUUUAAAGAGAUCAUUAAGUUAAAGUGAGGUCAGUUGGAUGGGUUCUCAUCCACUCUGAGUGCUGUCCUCGUGAAGAGAUUGUGCACAGACACACGCAGAGGGAAGGCUAUGUGAGGACACAGGGAGAAGGUGGCCAUCUGCGAGCCCCGGAGAAAGUCCUCAGAUGAAACCAACCCUGAUGCUACCUUGAUCUCAGACUUUCAGCCUCCAGGAAGGUGAGAGAAUCAAUUUCUGUUAAGCCUCCCAGUCUGCGGUGCUUUCUUAUGGCGGCCAGAACGAACUAACGUGGAGGUUGGGGGACGCCUGGACCACAGUGGUGGCCCCGGCUGCCUGGCUCUGUGGGGAACCAGGGACCAGGCCGGUAGUGAGAACGGGCAGGACGAUGGCGAGCCCUGGGUGCAGGUGUGAGCCUGAGGGUGUUGCCAGUUUAUUUUCCGGUUGGUGCUUUCAUUAUCCUCACACCGUCAGGAAAGUUCUAUGACCUGUCACUGCCUGGCUUCUGCUUUGUGUGGGGCAUUAAGAAGGUCCUCGCUGAGGGGUCGGAAGACAGUCAUGCCACAGGUCUUCAAGUCCAGACUCAGGAAGGGGCAGGAGCGUGCCCACUGGCAGGGGCGGCAUCCUUAGGGCCUCAAGAAUAGCCUGUGGGUCGUUUGAAGAGAACUGGUUUCCUUCAGCGACGCUGGCACACGCUUGUGCGGUUAUCACUUGGAUUACAGGUAGAAUGCAAAUUUUACUAGCCAUGUAACCUUAGGGAAGUUAUUCAAACUCUCCCGUCCUGUUUUUUGGCCCUGGGGAUAAGUGGGGUUCGCAGAGUGUUAUAAGGGUUAAAUGAGACCACGAAUAGAAAGGCUAUGGAAGCACACGGCACUUUGUCUUCGGUGCCAAGUAUUUCCUGAGUUCCUCCUAUGUGCCAGGUUCCACCUUAGGCUUUGAGGAUAUAACAGAAGGUAAGAGGGAAAAAAUGUCCCUGCUCCACAGAGCUUACACGGUAGACAGGGAGCAACUAUAAAGGAAACAGACGUGCAGAAGGAAGUGGGGUCCGCUGGGUCAGAGGCUGGUGCAGAGUCAAGGUGAGAAGAGGAAAGAACCCACGAACAGGUGCUUGCACUCCAUUCACUGGGCCCCUGGGGGCGGAAGGUAGAGCUGAGCCCUGAGCUAAGGAGACAUUGGAAGGGCUGCUGCUUCCUGGAGAAGGGGCUGGAAAACUCUGCUUGUUGGCCCCGGGAAAUAAUUAGGAAGCCUAUUUAUGUCCAGGAGCCUAAGUGGGGGGGGGGGGGGGGGGGAAUCUCCUGUUUAAAAAUAAAAUGAGUUUGGCGGCUCCUCAAAACGUUAAACAUAGACUUGCCAUGUGACCAGGCAAUUCCACUGUGAGGUGUAGAUGUCGAAACAUCGAAAGCAGGGUCUCAGGCUGAUCCGUGUAGAACGACGUUCGUGGUGGCUCUGUUCCCAACAGCCCAGAGGUGGAAACAACCCACCCACAGAUGGCUGAAUAAGCGAAGCGUGGCAUAUGCACACAGUGUUCCUGAACUUGAAUAAGGAGUGAAAUCCUGAUAUGUGCUCAGCGUGGAGGAGCCCUGAAAACAUUAUGCUCAACAACAUAAGCGAGACCCAUAAGGGCAAAUGACCGCGUGAUUCCACUUACAUGAGGAAGGAUGGAACUAUCUCCGCUUUUUAUGCCAGUCUCAUUAACAGCCGCCAGGACAGAUGUGGGGCCCUCAACAGCAGUCCUUCUUCUUCGCAUCCAAAGAAUGGCAGAGAAAGUUAAGAGGCCGAAAUGAGGCACAAAAGUUAGCAUCUUUAUUUUAUAGCAGCUUGGCUAGACUUUGAAGUCUACAUUUUCUGUCCGCACGUGCGUCGUCUUCUGGCUUCCAUAGCUGAUACUGAGAAGGCUGUUUUCAAUUGGACUGUUGUUCUUGACUGAGCGCUCUUUGAGAGCAUGGACCAUGACAUACAUCUGCUGGGGUGUCCUCAUGGCGAGGUCAGAAGCACGGCGCUGAAUCGUAGGCUCCAUCCGUGGCCGUCCAUCUUUGGUGUUAAUGCUUUCUGGGACAGUUGUUUGCCACUCUGGGACCCCUUAUGUGACAGCUCCAUUUGAACCAGCAUGAAAUGUCCCUCCCCGGCUGCAUUCUAGAACCUGGAACCUCCCAAGUAAGACCUAAGCCUGCCUUCACCUGGUGGGGUUAUCUGCUUCCCUGCCUGGACUCCUGUCCAGACCAAGAACGGCACCUUCCUCAUAUGCCUUGGCUCCUGGCACCGAGUUCCUCCUGCCUGUGCUCUCAACAUAACACUAGUGUGGGGGAGCCCCAAGAGAAUCGGGUUCUCAACACCAAGCAUGGUUAUUUUUGGUGAAGUACAGACCACGCAAACCAUGUCUUUAUUUAUGCCCCUGAGCCUGCAUUAGCUCCCUUACCAAACCUGGAAUCCGACUGGCUCCUCUUGAGCAACUUACCUCCCAACAGCCCCUGGUCACCUUCACAUGGAUAGUGGCCAAGGAAGGCUUUUCUCAUUCUGCCGUCAUAACGGUGGCUUCUUUGUUCAGUAUAGCUGUGGGAAAUUUAUUUUCGUCUCUGUUUUUUUGCCAGGAGACUGGAUCAUCAUCUGACAAUAAAGAAAAAUUCCAACCUGAAGGAUUUUGACCACAGAGGAAAGAACUUCCUGAAAGUUCUCUUUCAGGAAGAAUGAUGGGAUGUCCCUGGGGCCAAGAAUCAAAAGUUGUGUUCUUGGCCUCAACCCUGUCUGGCUGCCAUGCUCCUUGUCAGUAGCAUGGAAUUUGCCUCAGCACGAUCUUGUAAGGAUUAUAGGAGGGGGAAAGGCUUUCUAGAGGAGAGAAAGUCUCCUCUCCUUAUAAUCUUGAAUGGACAGCUGAAGGAUACUGUACAGUUUUAGGAACUUUUCCCAUAAAACCACAUUGACUUUCAGAAAAUUAGCUCUCCUGUCACUAGCUAGUGGGAACCUCAGUUCACAAACUCACUGGGGUGUAAGAAAUGCUAUGUUUUUAAUUUCCCCUAAAUCCAAUUCUGAAUCUCUGUUAGUUUCCUAGGCCUGACGUAAUGAAGUACCUCAAGCUGAGUGGCUUAUACAAGAGGAAUGUCUCACAGUUCUGGAGUUUGUGGUGUUCUCCCUGUGCCCCUGUUUCUGUGUCCACAUUUCCGUUAUUUUAAGGAUACAAUCAUAUUGGCUUAGGGCCCACCCUAGUGAUCUCAUUUUAACUUGUAACUUAAUUUUUUUUUUCUAAGAGAACCGAUGAGCUGGGGGGAGGCACAGAGGGAGGGAGAGAGAUAAGCAGGCUCCAUGCUCAGUGCAGAGCCUGAUGGGGGGCUUGAUCCCACGACCUUGGGAUCAUGACCUGAGUUGAAAUCAAGAGUUGGAUACUCAACCAACUUAGCCACCCAGGUCCACAGGGCCAGAGACUCCUUUGUCUUUCACCACCUGUGAGAUUUCCUGUCACUAAGGAGACUCGCCAGUGACACCCACAGAGAAUGGUAGGUCCACAUGAGGCCACCCGGCGGGGACAGGAUGGAAAGCAGAACCAUGGGGACACUUGUGCAGAGUCACACAAUGGCUGCAGGAGACCAAAGAGUGCCUGAUAAGAGUAAGUGGGACGUGCACAUACAGCACGGUUGUGCACACGCACACAUACGUACACGCACGCUGAUGGAGCUUAGCUAACAUGCAUCUCAAAAUUUUAAAACGCAGUAGAUGAAUUAAAAGAAAUUGUAGUCAUUGUGAGAUUUGAGUUAGUGCCCUGGGAGAUCAGGCACGAGACCUAUGUCAUUAACUAAGUUGCUGGAUUCCAAAUGCCCAAAACCUAUUGUCUUUCUCUGUACCGGCAGAAGUAACUAGAAAAAAUAUAUUUUUUAAUGGUGGCUUUUACAACCAGGUCAAGAAAACAUUGGAUACCUGGGAAGAAGUCUAAGGACGUUCAAACCCUCCACACUGAAAACCAUAAAACAUCACUGGAAAAAAAUAAAAAGUCAAAGGAGACCUAAGCAAAUGGGCAGAUAUACAAAGUCCAUGAAGAGGAAACCUAAAUAUUGUUAAAAUGUCAUUUAUUCAAAACUGGUUUAUAGAUUUAAAGUAAUCUCAAUUAAGAUGCCAGUAUUUUUUUUUUUUUAAGUGGCACGCUGAUUCUAAAAAUUCAUUGGGAAAUGCUCCCAUUACCAGUACUUGAGAAUUUUAAUUGUUCCAAAAUCUCAUCAAAUGUUGGUAUUGUCUUUUUAUUUUAUUUUGCUUUAUUUAAAAAUUUUUUAAAGAUUUAUUUGAGAGAGAGAGAGAGAGAGAGAGAGAGAGAGAGAAUGAGUGGGGGAGGGGCAGAGAGAGAGGGAGACCCAUGUCCUUCAUUUCCAGGGGGCUCUUCUGCUGAGAGACGCCACCAUGCACUCAAAGAUCUCAAACCCAGAAAAUACGACAGACGUUUCCUUCAGUGAUUCUCAGCUGGGUGAGCGCUGGAGUGCCAAGGGUUGAAGCAUGUCUUUCUUCCCCCCGACUCUCAAGAUGCCUGGGCAGCCACUUGGGAUCAUCACCCUUUCUUAGAGCCCCCUCGUGCCUGGUGGGAGAGCCAUGCCUCUCAGGCGUGUUGGGACGGCAAAAUGAUUGAGAACCAAGGCACAAGUGGAUGAUCUCAGCGACUUCCAAAAUGGACGGGGGUAUGGCUUUCCCAAGGCUCCAGGAGAAUUAGAAUCCCAGGAAACCUACCUGUGGGGGUACAAGUAUUCUGAGCCAAGGUCUCUGUUUGGUGUGAGUCUUCCGAAACAACCUGAGACUAUUGCAUAUUCCAAGAUACUAAGUUUAAGGCCACUUAAAAAAAAUCUGUAGGUUGCCAGAGUUUUCAUUGUCCUGCAUGUAUUUUACAGAAUAUUUUAUCUGUUCUUAAUAACACCUUUUUGUACUAACGUCUAGGAAGAUAACUCCGAGGUGGUGUAAGCAGCGCCGCUCAGAUUUCCACGUGCGUGUGAAUCACCCGAGGAUCCUGUUAAAAUGCAGAUUCUGAUUCAGAAGGUGCAGGCAAGGGCCUGAGAUUUUGCAUUUUUAAGACGUUCCUGGGCAGGACUGGUUACAGAAUUUGCAGGGCCCUGUGCAAAAUAAAGAGGCAAGAGCCCUUGUUUAAAAAUUACGAAAAAAAAUUCAAGGUCGGGGUGCCUGGGUGGCUCAGUUGGUUAAGCGUCCACCUCUUGAUUUCAGCUCAGGUCAUGAUCUCACAGCGUGUGGGUUCGAGCCCCGCAUCAGGCUCUGGGCUAAGAAUGCGGAACCUAUUUGGGAUUCUCCGUUUCCCUCUCUCUGCCCCUCCUGUUCUCUCUCUCUCUCAAAAGUAAAUAAUAAAUAUUUUAAAAAUCUUUUCAAGGUGAAGGGAGAACGUUCAACCAGUGCGUGAUCCUUCUAACCUCAGAGUCCUCCUGAACGUGGGGCCCCAUAGCACCGUCUGGUCACACACCCACGAGGCCGGCACUUUGCCCAGGUGAUGCCAAAAUGAGCCAGUCUGUAAAACCGGACUCUUCCUUAGACUCCGAGUUCUCAAUAUGGCAGCUCUGACCUGAAUUCCAUCAAGAGAAGUUAGUUCCUCCCGCACCCAAAAUCUCUCACUGUAAGGUGGUCUGGAGAUGAGAGGCCUCAGGUAUCCAACAGUGCGCGGACGGUACAAGGUCCACAUCUACUUACACCUGUCUUCAGAAUUUACUGAUUUGGCGAGACGAUAAACAAGUGAUUCAUAAACCACAGGGCGCUGUAUAAAUAUUGGCCCCUCUACCGUAAGACGCCUUCAACUUGCAACUCGGUGAGAGAAACUGACGCGAGGCCCUCUGGUGCCUUCCUAUGUGUCAGUCCCCAAGUUCAAGCCAGCUCGGCUAUUGUAGAUCCCUGAAAUUCCAUUUAAGUGAAAACCAGAGAGAGAGGAUCCAGGGCGGGCGAAGAAACCGUGAUGAGGAUCUUCAGUGCUUCCGGGAGGCACUGAAAUGUGAAAUAAUUAACCUUUGGAAAGCCUGCGUGGUGACUUGGUAUUUUUCCACCCCACUGAGGCUAAAAGGUUAAUUAAUUUUCCCUGUGUGUAAGAACCAGCCCUACAAUUUAGAAGUGAUGGCCGGAUGCCCCUACCUCCUGAGCAGCAGUGGGAUGGGGGUAUUCUCUUUGUGGGGGUCACCCACCCACAGGGCCGGAGCUCCGGGAGAGGCUCCCAUUCCCUCUCACCCUUUACCUUUGGCCCCCACGGGUGCCUCUGUGGUGUUCUGCCAGAGGUGCCUUCGGGGACCUGCUCCGGGCCCCAUCUGUCUUCCUGCUGGUGACCUCUGUGGGUGCCCCUCCGGGGCUGGUGUUGUUUUCCGGUUUGGCCUCGUCAGCGUCACCACCCACCCUCACAGACGUGGAAUUUCGGAGAAGAAGUGCCCAUUUACCAGGGAUGUGGCCUCGCCCUCCGGGCCAGCUGGCUCAGUGCCAGGACAGCCCUGCCAGGAUGGUCCUCUCUGUUCCGAAAGGAGGCCCCAGAGGUGGAUGCAUCUGUCAGAGCUUGUUCUUUUACGAAUAAUUAGUGCUCUGGUUUUCAGUUUACUGUGAAAUGUGGUGCUGGAGUCCGUUCCUCACCCGGAAUUGAUAAAAGAACUCUCCAUCUUCUUCUCUUGUCCCUCGAUAACUGUGAUUGUCCGCCCGACUGCACAACAGAAUCACCCAGGUGCUUUAGAAGAUACUCAUGUGUGGGGCGCCUGGGGGGCUCACUCAGCGAAGCAUCUGACUUCAGCUUAGGUCCUGCUCACAUGGUUUCGUGGGUUCGAGCCCUGCAUCGGGCUCUGCGUUGACAGUGUGGACCCUGCUUGGGAUUCUCUCUCUUCCCUCUCUCUGCUCCUCCCCCGCUCACGCUUUCUCUCUCUCUC
Molecule: long non-coding RNA, 10101 nt
Organism: Acinonyx jubatus (cheetah)
Lineage: Eukaryota; Metazoa; Chordata; Mammalia; Carnivora; Felidae
Exons: 6
Source: RefSeq, a predicted model, not a curated record